Molecule: long non-coding RNA, 1419 nt
Filed under: Monomorium pharaonis (pharaoh ant)
Lineage: Eukaryota; Metazoa; Arthropoda; Insecta; Hymenoptera; Formicidae
Description: uncharacterized LOC105835743, transcript variant X3
Source: RNAcentral
UUUGACAGCAUAAUUUAUUAAAUGAUUUAUAAAGUGAAGAGUUCACUGCCAAGAAUAAUAACUCGCAUUCUUGGCACGUGUUAACAUUGUUAUAACAUUGGCAGCACCCUUAUGAUAUUAUUUAAACAUUAGCAUUUGACAAGAGUGAAUAGCUGACUGAUAAAAUAGCUAAUUGUAAUUUGUUAUAAUUGGCAGGUGCACGGGGCGACUCGCUUACUCGAUCCAUCGCGAAAAUCCCCUCUUCCACCCUUUUUGCAUUGCUGGCAAAGCCGAUGCUGAUGUCGAUUCGCAUUGUCGAGUUUCAAACCCGUAAGGGCGUAUCUUUGUUGCCGAACACCACUCAUUCGUUAUCGUUCGGCUGUUACAAUCGUCAGGAUAGCUUCGACUUAAGUGUGAAAGACGACAGAUCUUCAUCAGCGAGAACAUCAAAGGUUCUCCAUGUCUUUCUUGAAGAAGAAGUUUAUAUGUCCCUCAGAAUCUGCACGUUUAAAUUAUUGCAAAAUUCGGAGUUUAAAUGUGAAAGUAAUGAGAGUUAUUAAAAAAGAAGUACUAUUUCACACACAUUAAUAGUAUUCAAGCGAAUUUCGAGGGUUCUUCGAUAAAGCUGAUUCCCGACAUACGGCCGACGGACGCUCCCUAAUAAGUUCAAGCGACGAUUAUGGUGGCCGACGCCGUAGCCGACGACGACAACGACGACGACGACGACGACGGAUAAAACAUAACAUCCCGUCGCAAAGCGAGCGUGCCAAAAUUAUGCCCCUGCUCGCCGAAAAGGAACAACACGAAGAUUGCAAGACCUCGACUAUGCAACAAUAAGCGCGAUCACGAAGAGACGGUUGUUCGUUCACAUGUAUCACGCGACUUUUAUGGUUGACACUGAAAGAGCCCAAGAGAAGCGGACGAGCUAUGUUUAAAGUUAACCGACGUUGAGGGAAGCGGUCCUUAGAAGAAUGAGUAAUUUUAGGAACCAACAGAGGGAAAACACAGGAGAUACAAGGAGGACUCAUCUUCUGCCUAUUAUCGAAACGAAAAAUAGAUGUAUAAUGGAUGCAAAGGAGCAACUUGACGAUACGCCAAGAACCAAUCUCAAUGGAUAGAGAGAAUGCUGUGAACUUGAACCUUAUUCGAAGAUUCAGCAAUGGGUCAAAGAACUUUUUUAAGAUAGAAAGAAAGACUUAAAAAAGCAAAGAAAUUGGAAGAAAAGAUGUGAACUGUGAUAUUGCUACGUCAAAAGGAUACCGGAGAUAUAAACUAAGAGAUAAAAUUUACAUGAGAUUCUGUUGCCGACACUUCUGGCUUCUGCUAUCGCGCGUAAACUUUCGAGAGACCGAGCAAGAGCACAGUAAGGGAGAAAAAGAGAGAGAGAAAGAGAGAGAGAGAGAGUGAGAGAGAGAGAGAGAGAGACGUCUCGCGGAUCUA